RNAcentral lists this ribosomal RNA (492 nucleotides) under uncultured bacterium. RNAcentral describes it as "partial 16S ribosomal RNA". It matches the Rfam family "Bacterial small subunit ribosomal RNA", at positions 29 to 507 of the family's 1533-position model. The record is from RNAcentral.
AGUGAACGCUGGCGGUAGGCCUAACACAUGCAAGUCGAACGGCAGCACAGUAAGAGCUUGCUCUUACGGGUGGCGAGUGGCGGACGGGUGAGGAAUACAUCGGAAUCUACUUUUUCGUGGGGGAUAACGUAGGGAAACUUACGCUAAUACCGCAUACGACCUACGGGUGAAAGCAGGUGAUCUUCGGACCUUUCGCGAUUGAAUGAGCCGAUGUCGGAUUAGCUAGUUGGCGGGGUAAAGGCCCACCAAGGCGACGAUCCGUAGCUGGUCUGAGAGGAUGAUCAGCCACACUGGAACUGAGACACGGUCCAGACUCCUACGGGAGGCAGCAGUGGGGAAUAUUGGACAAAGGGCGCAAGCCUGAUCCAGCCAUACCGCGUGGGUGAAGAAGGCCUUCGGGUUGUAAAGCCCUUUUGUUGGGAAAGAAAAGCAGCAGGUUAAUACCCCGCUGUUCUGACGGUACCCAAAGAAUAAGCACCGGCUAACUUCGUG